This 577-nucleotide ribosomal RNA is filed under the name Megalamphodus copelandi. RNAcentral's name for it is "Hyphessobrycon copelandi partial 16S ribosomal RNA". It matches the Rfam family "Bacterial large subunit ribosomal RNA", at positions 1811 to 2603 of the family's 2925-position model. Lineage: Eukaryota; Metazoa; Chordata; Actinopteri; Characiformes; Acestrorhamphidae. The record is from RNAcentral.
AAACAUCGCCUCCUGCAAAAUCAAUGUAUAGGAGGUCUUGCCUGCCCAGUGACUAAGUUAAACGGCCGCGGUAUUUUGACCGUGCAAAGGUAGCGCAAUCACUUGUCUUUUAAAUGGAGACCUGUAUGAAUGGUGAAACGAGGGCUUAACUGUCUCCCUUUUCUGAUCAGUGAAAUUGAUCUACCCGUGCAGAAGCGGGUAUAAAUAUACAAGACGAGAAGACCCUAUGGAGCUUAAGACACAAAGUCAACUGCGUAAUAAAUCCCCAUAAGGGAACAAAACAAAGCAACACUGACCAGCGUCUUCGGUUGGGGCGACCGCGGGGGAAAAAAAAUCCCCCACGUGGAAUAGACAUUUUCCUAAACCACGAGGCACACCUCUAAGUCACAGAACUUCUGACCUAAAGAUCCGGCAUUUAGCCGAUCAACGGACCAAGUUACCCUAGGGAUAACAGCGCAAUCCCCUCCAAGAGUCCAUAUCGACAAGGGGGUUUACGACCUCGAUGUUGGAUCAGGACAUCCUAAUGGUGCAGCCGCUAUUAAGGGUUCGUUUGUUCAACGAUUAAAGUCCUACGUGA